UUGGAUUUCCUUUGGCAGGGUUCCCUUGUAUGGAAGUUCUCAGGAGAACAACACUCUCAGAGUCCCACUGUCUCAAAGAAUUCUUAAUGGACAGACUCACCCUGAAGUUAUUUGAAGGAUCCUUGAGACUCUUUUGGAUUGCUGCUUGGAGAACAUUCCUGUAACUUGUCCCUGCUCCUUGAACUAUAAAAGCAGAAGGGAGGUACUGAGUUAAAACUUACAAAUUAUUAUCAAAUAAAUCUUCAAUAGUG
Molecule: long non-coding RNA, 251 nt
Organism: Homo sapiens (human)
Lineage: Eukaryota; Metazoa; Chordata; Mammalia; Primates; Hominidae
Gene: CFLAR-AS1
Product: CFLAR antisense RNA 1
Source: Ensembl